UAUGUGAUCGUCUCUCGCAUAUCAAUAAGCGGAGGAAAAGAAACUAACAAGGAUUCCCCUAGUAACGGCGAGUGAAGCGGGAAGAGCUCAAAUUUGAAAUCUUAAAGGGUUUCCCUUUACGAAUUGUAGUUUAAAGAAGUGUUUUCUGUUGAGGUUUUGGUAAAAGUUCUUUGGAAUAGGACAUCAUAGAGGGUGAGAAUCCCGUAUUUGACCUUUACUUUCAACUUUGUGAUACACUUUCAAAGAGUCGGAUUGUUUGGGAAUGCAGUCCAAAAUGGGUGGUAAAUUUCAUCUAAAGCUAAAUAUUGGCGAGAGACCGAUAGCGAACAAGUACCGUGAGGGAAAGAUGAAAAGAACUUUGAAAAGAGAGUUAAACAGUACGUGAAAUUGUCAAAAGGGAAGCGUUUGACACCAGUGUUGUUUUUCUGAAAAUCAAUUAAAGAACUGUUUAUGCUAAGCUGUUUAGACUUUAUCAGCUAACUGUUUAGUUUUGAGCUUUUCUUUAAUGCACUUUUCAGUUAACAAGUCAACAUCAAUUUCUUUCGCUGUAAAAAAGCUUGAGGAAGGUGGCUUGAGAUUCGUCUUAAGUGUUUAUAGCCUCUUGCCUAUGCAGUCGGAGAGAUUGAGGUCUGCAACGUAGAUCCUUCGGGGCUAAAUGCAUUUGUGCUAAGUUAUAGCAUUUUAUAGACAACUUGUUGACUAUGAUUUGUCUUGUAGCUUACUCGCUUAUGUUAUUUUACCUACGCUUAGGAUGUUGAUAUGCAUGACUGAUAU
RNAcentral lists this ribosomal RNA (774 nucleotides) under uncultured Neocallimastigales. Its description in RNAcentral is "partial large subunit ribosomal RNA". It matches the Rfam family "Eukaryotic large subunit ribosomal RNA", at positions 24 to 640 of the family's 3401-position model. The record is from RNAcentral. Lineage: Eukaryota; Fungi; Neocallimastigomycota; Neocallimastigomycetes; Neocallimastigales.